This 300-nucleotide ribosomal RNA is filed under the name uncultured Psychrobacter sp. Its description in RNAcentral is "bacterial SSU rRNA". It matches the Rfam family "Bacterial small subunit ribosomal RNA", at positions 496 to 795 of the family's 1533-position model. Lineage: Bacteria; Pseudomonadati; Pseudomonadota; Gammaproteobacteria; Moraxellales; Moraxellaceae. The record is from RNAcentral.
GCUAACUCUGUGCCAGCAGCCGCGGUAAUACAGAGGGUGCAAGCGUUAAUCGGAAUUACUGGGCGUAAAGCGAGCGUAGGUGGCUUGAUAAGUCAGAUGUGAAAUCCCCGGGCUUAACCUGGGAACUGCAUCUGAUACUGUUAAGCUAGAGUAGGUGAGAGGGAAGUAGAAUUCCAGGUGUAGCGGUGAAAUGCGUAGAGAUCUGGAGGAAUACCGAUGGCGAAGGCAGCUUCCUGGCAUCAUACUGACACUGAGGCUCGAAAGCGUGGGUAGCAAACAGGAUUAGAUACCCUUGUAGUC